UGUUGCUUGCAAGGGCGUAUGGUGGAUGCCUUGGCAGACAGGACCGAUGAAGGACGUUUGAGGCUGCGAUAUGCCUCGGGGAGCCGCCAACAGGGCUUUGAUCCGAGGAUUUCCGAAUGGGGGAACCCACCGACCGUCAUGGGUCGGUACCGGCUUCGGCCGGGGGGUACGCAGGGAAGUGAAACAUCUCAGUACCUGCAGGAAAGGAUAUUCCGUGAGUAGUGGCGAGCGAAAGCGGAUGAUGGCCAAACCUUGCGCGUGUGAUACCCGUCGGGGGUUGCGCGCGGGGUGUUGCGGGAUCGCGUGCGCCGGCUCCGACGGGCCGGCCGGCAGUUGCAGAAAACCAUGUGUCAGGGGAACCGGGUUGAAUACCGGGCCGCAGAGGGUGAGGGCCCCGUACCUGAACGCGCAUGGUCUGCCGAUCGCGUCUCCCAAGUAGCACGGGUCCCGUGGAACCCCGUGCGAAUCCGCCCAGACCGUUGGGUAAGCCUGAAUAUUCCUGUCUGACCGAUAGCGAACGAGUACCGUGAGGGAAAGGUGAAAAGUACCCCGGGAGGGGAGUGAAACAGUCUCUGAAACCGUGCGCCUACAAUCCGUCGGAGCCCUUUUGUGGGGUGACGGCGUGCCUAUCGAAAAAUGAGUCUGCGAGUCAGUGGCAUGUGGCGAGCAUAACCCGUGUGGGGUAUGCGUAGCGAAGGCGAGUCUUAAAAGGCGUUUGAGUCGCGUGUCCUGGACCCGAAGCGGGAUGAUCUAGCCCUGAGCAGGUUGAAGCGCGGGUAAGACCGCGUGGAGGACCGAACCCACCUGGGUUGAAAACCGGGGGGAUGACUUGGGGCUAGGGGUGAAAGGCCAAUCAAAUUCCGUGAUAGCUGGUUCUCUCCGAAAUGCAUUUGGGUGCAGCGUCGGGUCAUUACGUCCCGGGGGUAGAGCUACUGGAUGCUUGCGGGCCCGUAUCGGGUACCAACAGCAACCAAACUCCGAAUACCGGUGACGCGUAUCCCGGCAGUGAGUCGGCGGGGGAUAAGCUUCGUCGUCGAAAGGGAAACAGCCCAGACCGUCGUCUAAGGUCCCGAAGCGUGUGCUAAGUGGGAAAGGAUGUGGAGUCGCAUAGACAGCCAGGAGGUUGGCUCAGAAGCAGCCACCCUUGAAAGAGUGCGUAACAGCUCACUGGUCUAGUGGUUCCGCGCCGACAAUGUAGCGGGGCUCAAGCACACCACCGAAGACGCGGCAGUAUUUUGUACUGGGUAGGAGAGCGUCCCAUGAGGGGCGAAGCGGCCGUGUGAACGCGCCGUGGACUUCAUGGGAGUGAGAAUGCAGACAUGAGUAGCGAGAGACGGGUGAAGAUCCCGUCCGCUGGAUGACCAAGGGUUCCAGGGCCACGUUCAUCGUCCCUGGGUGAGUCGGGUCCUAAGGCGAGGCCGACAGGCGUAGUCGAAUGGAUGAACGGGUCGAUAUUCCCGUACCGGCUUUCAGCCGCCAAAACCGAGGCUUGGAGUACUAACCUCCGGGUCCGGGCUUACUGCUCCUUCGGGGGCGGGAUGCCCUGGCCUGUUGGGACCGAUCCUUGUAGUAGGUCAGCGCAGGAGUGACGCAGAAGGGUAGCCGGCCGCGGAGGUGGUCUUCCGUGGUCAAGCACGCAGGGCGUGGGACAGGCAAAUCCGUCCCGCAUGGGUCCGAGGUGCGAUGAUGGGGGCCUUAUGGCCCGAUAUCCGGUGAUCCCGGCUGCCGAGAAAAGCUUCGGCGUCAGGCUCGAAGCCGCCCGUACCCCAAACCGACACUGGUGGUCAGGUAGAGAAUACCAAAGCGAUCGAGCGAAUCCUGGUCAAGGAACUCGGCAAAUCACUCCCGUUCCUUCGGUUUAAGGGAGACCCCCGAUGGUGAACACACUUGCUGUGGGAGCUUUUGGGGGUGGCACAGACCAGGGGGUAGCGACUGUUUACCAAAAACACAGGUGCAUGCGAAGGCGCAAGCCGCUGUAUAUGCACUGACGCCUGCCCGGUGCCGGAAGGUUAAGAGGAUCCGUCAGCCUUCGGGUGAAGCGGUGAAUUCAAGCCCCGGUAAACGGCGGUGGUAACUAUAACCAUCCUAAGGUAGCGAAAUUCCUUGUCGGGUAA
This 2114-nucleotide ribosomal RNA is filed under the name gut metagenome. RNAcentral's name for it is "bacterial LSU rRNA". It matches the Rfam family "Bacterial large subunit ribosomal RNA", at positions 1 to 1979 of the family's 2925-position model. The record is from RNAcentral.